This 300-nucleotide ribosomal RNA is filed under the name Triticum aestivum (bread wheat). RNAcentral's name for it is "partial small subunit ribosomal RNA". Lineage: Eukaryota; Viridiplantae; Streptophyta; Magnoliopsida; Poales; Poaceae. The record is from RNAcentral.
AUGAUCAGGUUGCUUGGCAACUUGAAACAGAACUGGAUGGGGAAUAUGAGAUGGAAAGAGCAUCCGUGCAACGGUGCAGAAUUUGCAAUGGGUUUGGUUGAAGGGAUUAUUGAGAUCUCCGACAGUGAGAGCAACGUAGAAGUUGAUUCGAAGAAUGGUCUGAUCCUGAGCACGCUAAUCUGGUUGAAACAGAAUAGAAGACUGAGGGAGCAAGAGGAGAAAGAUGCAGCUGUUGGAAGAUGUAUCAAGAAAUGGAUGGCCCAGCUAAUGAGUCACUUGUUGAGAAAGACGGAAAGUUAA